Cricetulus griseus (Chinese hamster) is the source of this 324-nucleotide non-coding RNA. Lineage: Eukaryota; Metazoa; Chordata; Mammalia; Rodentia; Cricetidae. The record is from RefSeq and is a predicted model, not a curated record.
CUCCAAAAUUCUGGGAUUACAGAAUCUCUCUGGAAAAAGACAUGACUGUCUGCAAUGAUACAUCCUGACAAGAAGUUAAUGCCAGAGAAGGAAAAGAAAUUAACAGCUAGUGAACAGAAUUUUAAACAACCAGGAUUUUGUAUUUGUUACUUCCAACUACAGACUUUUUAAAUCCCAGAACUUGAACAAAGAUUUUUUUUUGACACUGAGAAAACUGCAAUGUCUAGGAAACAAAGCCAGAAGGAUUCAUCAGGAUUCAUUUUUGAUUUGCAGUCCAAUACUGUACUGGCCCAGGGAGGAACUUUUGAAAACAUGAAAGAGAAG